Molecule: unclassified non-coding RNA, 241 nt
Filed under: uncultured bacterium
Lineage: Bacteria
Description: contains 16S-23S intergenic spacer region
Source: RNAcentral
AUGGCUUUCACCAGGAAGUCCGCCCCGGCCUUGUCCACUGUGAUAGCUGCCUUCCCGUUGGAAGACGUGCUGCUGUCCCUCUUCGCCGUAUUGGCAGAAUCAGCUUUUUCAACCGAAUCUUUAGAUUCGUUAUUGCAGGCCACCAACAAUAUGGCUGCCAGGAAGAAUAAUUGUGUUUUCAUGUUUAUUAUUUUAUUGUCCAACUAAUCGAUGCUUAUCGUUCGUAGUGCGAUUCUGUUUC